AAGUGUCUCAGUCAUGGAGUGAGCCUCGUAAUGAACCAUCAGAGAAUAGGUCUGCAACUCAAGAUGUUCCUACAAAUACCUCUACUACAUCUACUGGUGCAAGUGAAGUGUCUAAUUCACAGGGUGAGCCUCUUAAGGAACCAUUGGAGAACAGAUUUGCAACCCAAGGUAUUCCUACAAAUACAUCUACUGCAUCUACUGUAGUACCGUCUGUUAAACUCUGGACAAAUGCCGGGCUCUUUGGACUUGAACCAUCUAAACCUCCAGUAUUUGGUGCCCAAGAUACUCCAAGGGAGGAUACUCCACCUGGUUUUGAAGUACCUCAACCAAGCC
This 333-nucleotide long non-coding RNA is filed under the name Setaria italica (foxtail millet). RNAcentral's name for it is "long non-coding RNA (SITA_LNC003617)". Lineage: Eukaryota; Viridiplantae; Streptophyta; Magnoliopsida; Poales; Poaceae. The record is from RNAcentral.